This 605-nucleotide ribosomal RNA is filed under the name Lactobacillus sp. JCM 2762. RNAcentral describes it as "bacterial SSU rRNA". It matches the Rfam family "Bacterial small subunit ribosomal RNA", at positions 28 to 623 of the family's 1533-position model. The record is from RNAcentral. Lineage: Bacteria; Bacillati; Bacillota; Bacilli; Lactobacillales; Lactobacillaceae.
GUCGAACGCGUCCCGGUUGAUGAAGUUGAGUGCUUGCACUUGAUUGAUUCAACUUGGUGACGAGUGGCGAACUGGUGAGUAACACGUGGGUAACCUGCCCCGAAGCGGGGGAUAACAUUUGGAAACAGGUGCUAAUACCGCAUAACAACCAAAACCACCUGGUUUUGGUUUGAAAGACGGCUUCGGCUGUCACUUUGGGAUGGACCCGCGGCGUAUUAGCUAGUUGGUGAGGUAACGGCUCACCAAGGCGAUGAUACGUAGCCGACCUGAGAGGGUAAUCGGCCACAUUGGGACUGAGACACGGCCCAAACUCCUACGGGAGGCAGCAGUAGGGAAUCUUCCACAAUGGACGCAAGUCUGAUGGAGCAACGCCGCGUGAGUGAUGAAGGGUUUCGGCUCGUAAAACUCUGUUGUUGGAGAAGAACGGGUGUCAGAGUAACUGUUGACAUCGUGACGGUAUCCAACCAGAAAGCCACGGCUAACUACGUGCCAGCAGCCGCGGUAAUACGUAGGUGGCAAGCGUUGUCCGGAUUUAUUGGGCGUAAAGCGAGCGCAGGCGGUUUUUUAGGUCUGAUGUGAAAGCCUUCGGCUUAACCGGAGAAGUG